Long non-coding RNA from Macrobrachium nipponense, 469 nucleotides. RefSeq lists it as uncharacterized. Lineage: Eukaryota; Metazoa; Arthropoda; Malacostraca; Decapoda; Palaemonidae. The record is from RefSeq and is a predicted model, not a curated record. The transcript is spliced from 3 exons.
CCCCCGCCGCCAAUAUACGAGUUUCUGUUGCUAGUGAUAGGGAUCAUGGUAUAGGUACAUUAGUGACAAUCGUCAGCCCGUAAUGGAAGCGUUUCUUUUGAAACUUAAGAGUUUCUUGGUCUAAUGGAUAAUAAGUGGAGAACACUCAGCGAGAGCUACUGAUAACAGACAUGUCGAUAUGGUAUAUACUACGAGAGCAGCUCCCUUCCUUCCGAUCAACCUCGUAACGCACCACCAAACCCUCAAGGAAAUAAGCGACGAUCACAGUGACAUUCUGGAAUUCGACCCUGCUUCAGUUUUCCUUGAUGCCCGUGAUCUGUUAUCUUUCAAGAGAAAGAAUGAACCAUAUCUCAUGAUCACGCUGAUGAUGAUGAUGUGAACGAGAAGGAGGACCCUGAGUGAGAGCGAGUAUGCGAACGCUGACGAUUAAGACGGAAGUGAUCUUCUGGGAGAAUGUCGUCUACAGCCG